This 92-nucleotide small RNA is filed under the name Klebsiella pneumoniae. RNAcentral's name for it is "partial RtT sRNA". It matches the Rfam family "RtT RNA", at positions 39 to 130 of the family's 130-position model. From Rfam's summary of the family: This family represents a bacterial cis-regulatory element known as RtT RNA. The exact function of RtT is unknown although it is thought that it may be involved in changing the cellular response in relation to amino acid starvation. Lineage: Bacteria; Pseudomonadati; Pseudomonadota; Gammaproteobacteria; Enterobacterales; Enterobacteriaceae. RNAcentral also lists the same sequence under 1 other name. The record is from RNAcentral.
AGGUUCGACUCGAGCGAAGCGAGAGAACGUUGCGUCAGCAACGGCCCGCAGGGCGAGCCACGAAGUGGUGAGUCAUCCUCUAUCACCGACCA